AAUAUCAAUUCUAAAUAAUAUUUAAUCACAUCUUGAUUAGACUAUACUUUGUUUAUAUAUCGUUAUAUCAAUAAAUAAUAAUACAAAAUUCCGCAAAACAACCCUUACAUUUCCUCAUUCACUAACAAACGCACGAUUACCUUUUAAAUAAUAUAUUUCAGCCAUAAUAAAAAAA
This 175-nucleotide unclassified non-coding RNA is filed under the name Moritella viscosa. RNAcentral's name for it is "putative sRNA". The record is from RNAcentral. Lineage: Bacteria; Pseudomonadati; Pseudomonadota; Gammaproteobacteria; Alteromonadales; Moritellaceae.